Molecule: ribosomal RNA, 253 nt
Filed under: uncultured bacterium
Lineage: Bacteria
Description: partial 16S ribosomal RNA
Rfam family: Bacterial small subunit ribosomal RNA
Source: RNAcentral
GACGAACCGUGCGAACGUUGUUCGGAUUCACUGGGCUUAAAGGGCGCGUAGGCGGACUCGCCAGUCUGUGGUGAAAGCCCCCAGCUUAACUGGGGAAGUGCCGUGGAUACUGCGAGUCUGGAGGAGGGUAGGGACAUCUGGAACGCUGGGUGGAGCGGUGAAAUGCGUUGAUAUCCAGCGGAACUCCGGUGGCGAAGGCGAGGUGCUGGACCCUUUCUGACGCUGAGGCGCGAAAGCCAGGGGAGCAAACGGG